ACCUUAUUUAGAUGUUGAUGAUGGGGUAUGUGGAGAGUUGUUAUUAUACUUUAUUUAUGUUACUUCAGAGUAAAUCAAAGUAUCCAAUUCUGAGCAUGUUAUUGAUUUCUUAUUAUCAUUCCUUUAGGUUUUCCAUUUACUGAUCUUGAAUUAUAUAGAAUUUGAUUAGUAAAUAUGUGUUAGUUCUUUAUUUGAAUCAUAUCUUUUAUUUUUAAAAAUGGAUUCACUUUACCAUUUUAACUUCUUUAAUUCAACCUUACAGGAUAUCAGUUUUAGUGACUUAUUUUCAUUUUGUUUUCGUUUGCCUUAUGUUUUUGUCCAUUGCUUUAAUUUAAAUUUCUGUAUAUUAAACUGUGUUGUGGUAAUUGGAUUUUAUCAGCUUCCUUAUUCCUUGUUUUUUUUUUUUCAAAUUUUGAUGUAUCUCUUAGUUGGCUGGAUUUUGUCAUCAGAUAAUUAUUUUAAGAAGAGCUGUAGAUGCAACAUUCUCUGAGUUUUUGUGUCUUUAAAUAUUUAUAUAUUUUUAAAUAUCUGGACAACAGCUAGACUGGUUAUAUAACAUUAUUGGAUUAUUUCUCCCCACCCUUGGAACUCUAAAUUCAUGACUCUACAAUCUUCUAAGGCUGACUGCACUAUGGAGAAAUCUAAAUAACUUUUUUCCUUGUAAUUAGUGUAUAUUCAGUCCACAGAUUUUUGUCUUCAUUAAUUUCCAGCAAAUUCCCUUUAAUGUAUCAUUGAAUAUUUUUUCUCCUUUAGGUUUUCUAUCCUUCCCUUCCAGAGUUUAUUAGUAUCAUUUGUCUCUCUUUCAUAGUUGUCACUUUUUCCCUACUUAUUUCAUUUAUUUGUCCUUCUCCAAUUCAUAUUGAAUAAUUUUGUAAGCCUGUCUCCAUAUAUUCACUUUUUAUACCAGUAACAUUUAGUCUACUUUUGUCUUUAAAAUGUGUUUUUAAAAUAAUGUGGAAUACUUUAUUUAAAUUUAAAAAUUCAUAGUGAGUACACCAAUAGUUGAUAAAAUUGGGUUGGGGUACAUGGGUUGUUCAUUAUGCUCUAUAUUUUUUCUGUAUCUUUGGUUUCCUUUUUAAAAUGGACUUUAUUUUUUAGUCCAUUUAGCAGUUUUAAGUUCACAGCAAAAUUUAGAGGAAAGUACAGAGUGUUCCCAUGUAUCCUGUGCCUCCACAUACCCACAGCCUCCUCCACUACCAACAUCUUCCACCAAAGUAGAUCAGUGGACUAGUCCAAGAACAUCUUUCCCAUGGAGAUAGUGAAAGUACAAGCAGUGAAGUCAAAUCACACAAGCACCUUUUCAAACUUCUGCUGUGUCACAUCAGCUAACAUUGCAUUUGCUAAAAUUAUAAUCAAUGGGUAGGGAAAUUUAUUCCACCUUUUGAUGGAAGAAACUGUAAAGUUAUAUGGCAAGGAUACAGGAAGGAGCAGAAAAUUGGGGCCAUCAAUGCAGUCUAUCUCAUGAACAGAUAUGCUAAACAAACAUAUAUGACUUCAUUUGGUAAGUGUUUGCUUUAGAAGAAAAGGACCAUAUCGUAAUUUGUUUGCAUCUUGCUGUUCUUAGGGACACCUCAGAGAAGUACCUGUAUGUCAUCUUAUUUUUCUCUGAUUCAGUUUUUAAAUGGCUGCAUAUUUUUCCAUCUUAAAAAUCUGCUAUAAUUAUUUAACUAUUUUUCUCUUGAUGGGUAUUAAGUUUGUUUUAUUUUUUGGUUACUCAUUUUGAACAGUGUAGAAAAAAUCUUUUCAAGAUUUUUUUGGUCAGAGAUAUGUAUAUUGUUAACUUUAAUAGAAAUUUCCAAGUUACUUUUCAAAUAAGGCUGUGAUUCUUCACUUGUACCAGCAAUUUAUGACAUUUUCUCCUACAUUGUUGCCAAGAAAUGGUAGCAUUAUUCUUUAUUAAUCUUUACCACUUUGUUAUAUGUAAAGUGACCAUUGUUUAUUCCCUUUUCAUUUCUCUACCUACUCAUAAAUUUGAGCAUCUUUUCAUAUAAUUUUGCCAUUUGAAUUGCACUUCUAAUACUAGUCUGUUUAUAUUCUUUUGUCAGUUUUCUACUGAGUUUUUAAGUCUUUCUUGUCAAUUUGUAAGAGCUCUUUUGUACACAUUAUAUAUGUCUUUUUCUAUGGGUUAAAAUAUAUUUCCAAAUAUUUCUAUAUUGACUUUGUUUAUGGUACCCUUGUCAGGCAAAAAUUUGUUUGAGGCCAUUUUUACUGGUUAAAUAUUUAUUUAAUUAAAUGGUUCUAGAAAUACCGCUAUUCCAGCUAAGCAGGUAUGAUCUUCAGGAUGUUGCAUGGGGGAGGGAUUCAUCUCUUAACACUGCCUGGAGCUUCCUUCAAAUCCUCAAU
Phyllostomus discolor (pale spear-nosed bat) is the source of this 2343-nucleotide long non-coding RNA. RefSeq lists it as uncharacterized. NCBI's taxonomy places the organism in Eukaryota, Metazoa, Chordata, Mammalia, Chiroptera, Phyllostomidae. The record is from RefSeq and is a predicted model, not a curated record. The transcript has 2 exons.